GGCCCUUCCCGCACGAGUAUGUCAGCGGGACCCCGCACGUGCCCCUCAAUUUCAUAGCCCCGGGCGGUUCCCAGCAUGGCCCCUUCACAGGCAUCGCAUGCGGAAAGUCCAUGAUGAGCUCCGUGAGCCUGAUGGGGGGCCGGGGCGGGGUGCCCCUCUACGACCGGAACCACGUCACAGGGGCCUCGUCCAGCAGCUCGUCCAGCACGAAGGCCACGCUGUACCCGCCGGUGAGGGGCGGGGCCGGGGAGGGGCGGGGCGGGAUGG
RNAcentral lists this small RNA (267 nucleotides) under Pan troglodytes (chimpanzee). Its description in RNAcentral is "retained intron". The record is from RNAcentral. Lineage: Eukaryota; Metazoa; Chordata; Mammalia; Primates; Hominidae.